AUUGCCCAGUACGGCGAGUGAAGCGGCAAAAGCUCAAUUUUGAAAUCCCCCCGGGGAGUUGUAAUUUGAAGACUAGGGGAUUUGGCCCAAACCUGCGCAAGUCCAUUGGAACAUGGCGCCCAAGAGGGUGAGAGCCCCGUCGCGCAGGCCGCAGCCUUGACAUCCCCCCGUCAAAGAGUCGAGUUGUUUGGGAAUGCAGCUCAAAGUGGGUGGUAAAUUCCAUCUAAAGCUAAAUAUUGGCGAGAGACCGAUAGCGAACAAGUACAGUGAUGGAAAGAUGAAAAGCACUUUGAAAAGAGAGUGAAACAGUACGUGAAAUUGUUGAAAGGGAAGGGCUUGCAAGCAGACACGAGUUCGCUCGGGCCAGCAUCAAUUUCGCGAGGUGGACAACACGCCAGGAAUGUGGCAGGCUCCGGCCUGUGUUAUAGCCUGCGCGCCAUACACCUCCGCGAGAUUGAGGCCUGCUCCAAAAGGAUGCUGGCGUAAUGGUUGCAAGUCGCCCGUCUUGA
Molecule: ribosomal RNA, 509 nt
Filed under: Helenozyma melibiosica
Lineage: Eukaryota; Fungi; Ascomycota; Pichiomycetes; Serinales; Metschnikowiaceae
Description: [Candida] melibiosica partial large subunit ribosomal RNA
Rfam family: Eukaryotic large subunit ribosomal RNA
Source: RNAcentral